This 447-nucleotide ribosomal RNA is filed under the name uncultured bacterium. RNAcentral's name for it is "partial 16S ribosomal RNA". It matches the Rfam family "Bacterial small subunit ribosomal RNA", at positions 338 to 795 of the family's 1533-position model. The record is from RNAcentral.
CCUACGGGUGGCAGCAGUGAGGAAUAUUGGUCAAUGGGCGCGAGCCUGAACCAGCCAAGUCGCGUGAGGGAAGACGGUCCUAUGGAUUGUAAACCUCUUUUGUCGGGGAGCAAAAGACGCCACGCGUGGCGUUCCGAGAGUACCCGAAGAAAAAGCAUCGGCUAACUCCGUGCCAGCAGCCGCGGUAAUACGGAGGAUGCGAGCGUUAUCCGGAUUUAUUGGGGUUAACGGGUGCGCAAGCGGAAGAUCAAGUCAGCGGCUCAACCGUGGAAUUGCAGUUGAAACUGGAGGCCUUGAGUGCACACAGGGAUGCCGGAAUGCAUGGUGUAGCGGUGAAAUGCUGAGAUAUCAUGAAGAACUCCGAUCGCGAAGGCAAGUGUCCGGGGUGCAACUGACGCUGAGGCUCGAAAGUGCGGGUAUCAAACAGGAUUAGAUACCCCAGUAGUC